Molecule: long non-coding RNA, 858 nt
Filed under: Bos taurus (domestic cattle)
Lineage: Eukaryota; Metazoa; Chordata; Mammalia; Artiodactyla; Bovidae
Description: long non-coding RNA NONBTAT021718
Source: RNAcentral
UCACUUAUUUAAUAUACAAAGUCUUUUUUCACAGGGAAUUAUUUGUUUUCCUUAAUUUGUCUUAGUACGCAUAUUUCACAAAACAGUAAAUUGUUAAUGCAAGAGAAUUAGGAAAAACCAAAAAAAGUACAAAUGCUCAGUCCCCAAAAUUGCACACAGUUAAUGUUUUUCAUUUGUUUUAAUGCAGUUUCAAAUGGGCUUUCUUCAGAUGUGGAGGAAACACUGCAGCCCAAAAGAACAGUACUUCCUCUCAACUGUAUUGAUAUGUAAAAUAGCACCUUUGGGCUGACAUGAAAGGAAAUUGGUUUCCGUCUUUCUUAAUUAAAAUGUAAGUCCUGCACAAUGAUAUGACAACUACAAUAAUGACAAUGUUAAGUUUGAAGAGCUCUACUUUGUUCCAAAAUAUUAAUUGGCAUGAAAGGAAAGGUGAACUGUGUCAGGCAAAUGAAACACUGCCCCACCUCACCUCCAUGACAAUUAGAAUAUGUUAGUGAUGCCAUUGCUCUAAUAGUCUAGUUUUCCAGUCAAAAUAUAUAGAUGGUUCAGGGACCUUUUGCAAAACAGAUUAACUAUGCAGCUGUCUCUCUGGGACUGUAAUCCCAUGAACAGCAGCUCAGGAUGAGAUAUAAUCCUGCAGCAUUUAGAAGACUCCUUUACUGUGUACACCUGUCUUCCUUCAGUUUCUCCAUUGUUUUAUAUCCCAAAUUGAUGGGAACAUUUUUGUUUCAUUUGUACUUAAGCUUAAUUUCCUUUUGGGCUUCACUUUUUAAAAAAAAAAAUAUGGAUUGCAUUUCUUUACAACUUAAUACUUGAGCUUAUACAAUAAAAGUGACAGAUCUUUAAAAAAAAAUUAACAGU